Molecule: ribosomal RNA, 624 nt
Filed under: Helicobasidium purpureum II
Lineage: Eukaryota; Fungi; Basidiomycota; Pucciniomycetes; Helicobasidiales; Helicobasidiaceae
Description: LSU rRNA
Rfam family: Eukaryotic large subunit ribosomal RNA
Source: RNAcentral
AAUAAGCGGAGGAAAAGAAACUAACAAGGAUUCCCCCAGUAACGGCGAGUGAAGAGGGAACAGCCCAAAUUUGUAAUCUGGCCCUUUUGGGGUCCGAGUUGUAAUCUCGAGAACUGUUUUCCGUGCCGGACCAUGUACAAGUCUGUUGGAAUAUAGCUUCAUAGAGGGUGAGAAUCCCGUACAUGACAUGGACCACCGGUGCUUUGUGAUACAGUCUCUAAGAGUCGAGUUGUUUGGGAAUGCAGCUCAAAUUGGGUGGUAAAUUCCAUCUAAGGCUAAAUAUUGGCGAGAGACCGAUAGCGAACAAGUACCGUGAGGGAAAGAUGAAAAGCACUUUGGAAAGAGAGUUAACAGUACGUGAAAUUGUUGAAAGGGAAACGCUUGAAGUCAGCCUUGUUCUUGGUUGUUCAGCCUUAGGGUGUAUUCAACUUUGAGCAGGCCAGCAUCAGUUUUGGGUGCCGGAUAAGGGCUUAGGAAAUGUGGCAGCUUAGGCUGUGUUAUAGUCCUUUGCUUGAUACGGUGCCUGGGACUGAGGAACGCAGCGAGCCUUUUGGCGGGUCCCCUCGGGGGCCUUCUCGCUUUGGAUGCUGGCGUAAUGGCUUUAAACGACCCGUCUUGAAACAC